RNAcentral lists this long non-coding RNA (3706 nucleotides) under Marmota monax (woodchuck). The record is from RNAcentral. Lineage: Eukaryota; Metazoa; Chordata; Mammalia; Rodentia; Sciuridae.
GGGAAGAGCAGUUUUCCUGUGGGUCAAGGGGUGAUGGGUAUGGCUUUGGCCCUGGGAUGGCACCACCUGCUACAGGAGCAGUCCUCAGGCAGGCAAGUGUCUUCUCCUCUUAUCAGGAUCUGAGGAUAUCUAGGAACUGAAUCCUGAGGCCAACACAGCAAGCUCACCUGUGCAGAGUCAGGACAGGGACUUUUGUGAGCCUGGGGGCGGGGGUCUGUGCCUGGGCACCAGGUCCCUGCUGUACAGGUCAAGGGGAGGCCCCAGGCUCUUGCUGGGAGCUCCAUGGAAUUGAAGAGGAAGGUGAUGCCCUUCACGUAGACCAAGACACACUGUGGCUGUACUGCCCCGGUGGAUGUGCUGCCACCUGGUCUUCCUCAGGGCAUGGGAAAAGUUGCUGGGCCCUGGGUUUGGGUUUGAAGGCCUUGACCCCAUGGGGCCUCCUUCUCCCUUUCCUGGAGCCAUGCUGUGGGUGAUAGAACCAGCGGGUACCUGGUCACUCUGUGUCCCCAGAGCAGAUGGGCCGCAUCCUGCAGCGCACUGCCAUCUCCACCAACAUCAAGGAACGCCUGGACUUCUCCUGUGCCCUCUUUGGACCUGACGGGGGGCUGGUCUCUAAUGCCCCCCACAUUCCUGUGCAUCUGGGAGCCAUGCAGGAGACUGUGCAGUUCCAGGUGCGGCAGGCCCCCUCUCUAGCCUCCCUCGCUGACCCAUGUCCCUGCCCCACCCCCAUUCUGCACCUGUCUCCUGGUUUUAGAUCCAGCACUUGGGGUCUGAUCUCCACCCCGGUGAUGUGCUACUCAGCAACCACCCCAGCGCAGGGGGCAGCCAUCUUCCAGACCUGACUGUAAUCACACCGGUGAGGUUCACUGCCAGGCUACCUUUGUGGGGGUCACAGGUGGCUGACACAGCUGACUGUCACUCUCUACCCGCUAGGUAUUUUGGCCAGGUCAGACUCGGCCUGUGUUCUACGUGGCCAGCCGAGGGCAUCAUGCAGACAUUGGGGGUAUUACACCAGGCUCCAUGCCCCCGCACUCCACUGCACUGCAACAGGAGGGGGCCGUCUUUCUGUCCUUCAAGCUGGUCCAGGGGGGCGUCUUUCAGGAGGAGGGUGAGCCGGAGUGGGGCUGCGGUGGGGGUUCAGCAGGAUGGGAUACCUGGUUGCUGCCAGUGACCCAGCUGGCUGGACCCUGGGAUACAGCCCAGCAGCCCAGGUCUGCCCUGAGGCUGGGGAGUGGCAAAUGGUGACCCCGUGGUGCAGUUGCAGAUCAUCCCCCAGAGAUGAUUAGAGGUGAGAUGAAUUCUGUGUGGCCAAAGAAGUACUCCUUGGAGGUGGUUUGGGGGUAGGAAGUUGGCCAGGACACUCAAAGAGUAGAGUAUAGAAGGAAGAAGGGCCUAUUUCAGGUAGGUAGCUGCUGCAGUCCACACUGGGUUUGGGUGAAGGAUGUUUGGGAACUCAGGGCUGGUAUUGGAUGGGAUUUGGGGGGAGUGAGGGGUCAAGUUUGGAUGAAGGAGGAUGGAGGCCUUACACUGAACAGAGACAGGGAAGGUAGGGUCAGCGGAAAAGGUAGCACAUGGUCUGAGGUUACAGGGGCAUGGGAGUCCAGAGUAGCACCCCAGAACGAGGGUGGGUGAGUUGAGCAGGGUGGAGGGGUAGAAGUAACAGAGCCAUGGUCCACUUUGGGUGUCACAGACACAUAUAGGGUGACGUUGGUCAGGGGUAGCUGGGGUAGGAGGUGUGGAUCAUGGAGGAACAAGUGUAAGUGUAAGUGUAGGGGAUCAGUGCCAGGGAGCCUUGGAGACUGUAACUCAGAAGGGAAGGGGUGUUCCUGAAGAGUGUAGGAGUCUCUGGGUCAGAUCUGCAUCCCUUGCAGGAGUGAGAGGGAACCUUGUCCAGAUCUGAGAAACCUGCAGGUUGGGGGAUAGCACAGGCAGCAGUCUGAUGCUCUUUUGAGGCACUUGGCUGGGGAUGUCAGUGGGAGCUGGCAGGGCUAAGGGCAUAUCGAGGAGGAGGAAUGCCAAGGAAGUGGCUUUUCUCCUGGGAGACAUAGUAGAAGUGGGCUGGAGAAGGCAGGAGGGAUAAGGAGGGAGGAGAGUUUGCUAAGGGACCAAUAUGCCCUCUAGGCAUCUCCAGCUCCAGGGAGGUCACUGGCCAAGCUGCCCUUAGGCGCUGGCUAUCAGAAGGAUAAAAGGAUGGAGGCUGGUGCUUCAGGGAAUGGGAGUCAGCAGGACAGGUGGGGAUUCAGUGGAGGGCCAACAGUGCCCAGUGGGGGUGCAGUGGGGCUGGAAUAGGGCACCAGGUGGCUGAGGAGAUGGGGGCAGCUCAGUGGUGACCUCAUCCAUUCCAUCCAGCGGUGACAGAGGCCUUACGGGCACCAAGCAAGAUCUCUGGUUGUAGUGGAACUAGGAAUCUGCAUGACAAUCUGUCGGAUCUCCGUGCCCAGGUGGCAGCCAACCAAAAGGGCAUACGGUUGGUGGGGGAGCUCAUCGGGCAAUAUGGCUUGGAUGUUGUGCAGGCCUACAUGGGCCACAUUCAGGUGGGUCUAGGGGCAGGGAGGUGGGAGCCCCACUCUGCCUGCCCAAGGUGCAGGGCCACUCUGAAAGUAGCAUGGCUGCCAUGGGACCCUCUCCCUGCCAGGCAAAUGCAGAGCUGGCAGUGCGUGACAUGCUGCGGGCCUUUGGAACCUCCCGGCAGGCUCGGGGACUACCCCUUGAGGUGUCUGCGGAGGACCACAUGGAUGAUGGCUCGCCUAUACACCUCCGAGUUCAAAUCAACCUGAGUCAGGUCAGACCUAGUUGGGAGACAGGGAGGGAGCUUUCUGCGCCACCCCACUGCUGAUGCCUUCACCCUUCUCCUUCCUGGGCAGGGCAGUGCUGUAUUUGACUUCAGUGGCACUGGGCCGGAGGUGUUUGGCAACCUCAAUGCCCCGCGGGCCAUAACGCUGUCGGCCCUCAUCUACUGCUUGCGCUGUCUUGUGGGCCGUGACAUCCCACUCAACCAGGUUCGCAGGGGGGUGGAGUCUGAGGUCGGUCCCUACCAGUGCGAGGUCAGCAGGUGAACCUGAGGCUGGAGGUCACCCUGAGUGUGUGUGGGGUCAAGGUCAGCCCAACGUGGACUGAGCCCGGGAGGUGGGCAUGUUUCUCUUGGAAUCAGAGAGGGACCCAGCCCCAUUUGCCCCUGAGAGCUGCUUGCCCAUGCACAGGGCUGCCUGGCACCUGUGCGGGUGGUGAUUCCUAGAGGCUCCAUCCUGGACCCAUCCUCAGAGGCAGCGGUGGUGGGCGGCAACGUGCUCACGUCACAGCGUGUGGUGGACGUCAUCCUGGCGGCCUUCGGGGCCUGCGCUGCCUCCCAGGUGUGAUAGGCAGGCUGGGUGCGGCCCUGGGGGCUUCUGGGAACUCUGGGAGGGCGAGGGCCUGCUGGAAGCGGAUCCCCGCCCCAGCCAGGUACAGUUAAGGCUUGCUCCUGCCAGGGCUGCAUGAACAACGUGACCCUGGGCAAUGCCCAUAUGGGGUACUACGAGACGGUAGCGGGCGGCGCAGGUGCGGGCCCCGGCUGGCACGGACGCAGCGGCGUGCACAGCCACAUGACCAACACGCGCAUCACCGACCCGGAGAUACUGGAGAGCCGGUGAGCUACGCGCGCCAGGGGCUAGGCAGCUAGGAUGGGGCCGAGCUUGGGUUCAGCUGAGCUGAGCCCUUCGUACGCGUA